UAGGGAAUCUUCGGCAAUGGGGGGAACCCUGACCGAGCAACGCCGCGUGAGUGAAGAAGGUUUUCGGAUCGUAAAGCUCUGUUGUUAAGGAAGAACGAGUGUGAGAAUGGAAAGUUCAUACUGUGACGGUAGCUUACCAGAAAGGGACGGCUAACUACGUGCCAGCAGCCGCGGUAAUACGUAGGUCCCGAGCGUUGUCCGGAUUUAUUGGGCGUAAAGCGAGCGCAGGCGGUUUGAUAAGUCUGAAGUUAAAGGCUGUGGCUCAACCAUAGUUCGCUUUGGAAACUGUCAAACUUGAGUGCAGAAGGGGAGAGUGGAAUUCCAUGUGUAGCGGUGAAAUGCGUAGAUAUAUGGAGGAACACCGGUGGCGAAAGCGGCUCUCUGGUCUGUAACUGACGCUGAGGCUCGAAAGCGUGGGGAGCGAACAGGAUUAGAUACCCUGGUAGUCCACGCCGUAAACGAUGAGUGCUAGGUGUUGGAUCCUUUCCGGGAUUCAGUGCCGCAGCUAACGCAUUAAGCACUCCGCCUGGGGAGUACGACCGCAAGGUUG
RNAcentral lists this ribosomal RNA (550 nucleotides) under uncultured bacterium. Its description in RNAcentral is "bacterial SSU rRNA". It matches the Rfam family "Bacterial small subunit ribosomal RNA", at positions 355 to 896 of the family's 1533-position model. The record is from RNAcentral.